Transfer RNA from Wallemia ichthyophaga EXF-994, 98 nucleotides. It matches the Rfam family "tRNA". Rfam says of the family: Transfer RNA (tRNA) molecules are approximately 80 nucleotides in length. The record is from Rfam. Lineage: Eukaryota; Fungi; Basidiomycota; Wallemiomycetes; Wallemiales; Wallemiaceae.
GCCUCGCUAGCUCAAUCGGUAGAGCGUGUGACUCUUAAUCACAAGGCUGCGGGUGACUUUUAAUCACAAGGCUGCGGGUUCGAGCCCCGCGUGGGGCU